GUGACCCUGGGAUCUUGUUAGAAAUGCAGACUCUGAUUCAGUAGGUUAAGGACAUGGACUGUGAUUCUGCAUUUCUAACAAGCCCCCAGGUGAUGCUAA
This 99-nucleotide microRNA precursor is filed under the name Loxodonta africana (African savanna elephant). RNAcentral's name for it is "mir-544 microRNA precursor family". It matches the Rfam family "mir-544 microRNA precursor family". The record is from Rfam by way of RNAcentral. Lineage: Eukaryota; Metazoa; Chordata; Mammalia; Proboscidea; Elephantidae.